RNAcentral lists this long non-coding RNA (364 nucleotides) under Phoenix dactylifera (date palm). RNAcentral describes it as "long non-coding RNA (PDAC_LNC008546)". Lineage: Eukaryota; Viridiplantae; Streptophyta; Magnoliopsida; Arecales; Arecaceae. The record is from RNAcentral.
UUUUGGAUCCAUUAGAUCCUAUGGUAUUCACUGUUUGCUCAGAUAUAUUCACAGAUACAUCCAUAUGUAUGUGAUAGAGACUGUCAAUCAUAAAACUAUGUUGAAUCAAUUUAUUUUUCAAAUAAAAAUCUUUCUGUGCUAAAUAAAAUACAGAAAUCAAAUUUCUGCUAGCAAUAGGUAACAGUCCCUAAGUAUCCUGAGCAUAUCUGACAUACCUUCUGAAGGUCUGUCACCCAUCAUGUUCUUUAUGCUUCCCAUGUAUGUAGGACAGUUCCUCUUCCAAUGGCCGUUCAUGAUGCAAUGGAAACACUUUUCCUUGCAAUUGGCCUUUUUCUUGGAACUUCCUUACUUGGUGUUUUCUUAG